GCCCGAAUAGCUCAGCUGGCCAGAGCAGCUGUCUUGUAAACAGCAGGUCGUGGGUUCGAAUCCCACUUCGGGCU
Molecule: transfer RNA, 74 nt
Filed under: Actinomycetota bacterium
Lineage: Bacteria; Bacillati; Actinomycetota
Description: Actinobacteria bacterium tRNA-Thr
Rfam family: tRNA
About the family: Transfer RNA (tRNA) molecules are approximately 80 nucleotides in length.
Source: RNAcentral